GCCCUGCAUCCCUUGCAGCCUGUUG
Molecule: unclassified non-coding RNA, 25 nt
Filed under: Mus musculus (house mouse)
Lineage: Eukaryota; Metazoa; Chordata; Mammalia; Rodentia; Muridae
Description: oocyte_clustered_small_RNA11694
Source: RNAcentral